This is a long non-coding RNA of Gavialis gangeticus (Gharial), 1385 nucleotides long. RefSeq lists it as uncharacterized. NCBI's taxonomy places the organism in Eukaryota, Metazoa, Chordata, Crocodylia, Gavialidae. The transcript is spliced from 2 exons. The record is from RefSeq and is a predicted model, not a curated record.
ACCAGUUGGCAACUGGGAGGCUGCUCCAUAAGCUUGCACUUGUCACUGCUAAACCCCCGUUGCUUUCAGUGCAGCCCUCGAGGUUGCCUGGAGCUCCUGCUCCCCUGGACUGCCAGCAUCUCCCAGCUUCGUGCCACCCCCGCUGUCAUCGGCGCCCUCUCCCUUUGUGUCCUGAGGCCACAAGAUCAGUCCUGACACCAGGCCCCGCUGCGGGCCUGCUACCCGCGAGGUGGACCCCAGCGGUGUGGGGCCUCCCGGAGAAGGAAACUCCAACCAGCAGUGUGUCCUGGGAAGCCAACGUGGAGAAAGGCAAAGCCCCCGGCUGCAAUGCUGCUUCUCCAACAGCAUUUCUGGUGUCAAUAGGAGGAUGUGCGGAGCGGAGGUGGAUCACAUCCCUGCCCUGGGUCCUCAGCCCCAGGCAAUGGGUGAGAUGGGAGUCAAGUGCCCAGCUCCUUGGCUGGGAUGACAUAGUUGGGGCUGGUCCUGCUUGGAGCAGCAGACUGGACUAGAUGUGACCUCCUGAGCUCCCUUCCCACCUUCAUUUUCUAUGACUCUUAACUCCUAUGGGUGUUCAGGGUCACGGGGGUGCACAGCUCCCCCAGAAAGUCGCACCCCAUGCUCCUGCUGAUAGGCAGAGCUAGGCCCCAGCUGCCAAGUUUUGGAGUCUGAAGGUUUUGGUUUUGGGCCCAGCUCUGGUUUUCGGGAUGGAACAACCAGGCUGUGACCAAGACUAAAACUCUGUGACCAUCAGUCAAGGUGGGCUGAAGGUUUGGGUCACGCUGAAAAGGCAAUGCUGGGGAUACUUCGAGCUUAUCCCAAAAGAACCAACGGCCCUCGAGAGGCAGUGCAGCAUCCCGGCCAGCACCAGGGUGGAGGUAGCGCAGGCAAAGUACCAGGAAAGCUGACCUGGGAUAUGGCUGAUGAAGAGUUAAAGCAUAGAGCCAUGCUAAUGAUGGUCAUGAUUAUUUAUUAAUGAUCCGUUGCUGUAAUUUGCCAAUGCAUACAUUUCUUUAUGGAGCUUUAUGUAACUCCAUCUUGAAUCAAGUAGCCAGGGCAUAAGCAUUAAGUGUCCCUGAGCCCGUUGCAUUGGUUAAGAGCAAUUUCCAGCCCCUUCCAGCAAAGUAUCAGGAGCUGAUGGGUGCUGUGGAAAUGCCAGCUGGUGAGAACCCCACGGUGGCUUGAACGAGACAGCUCUUUUCAUGGCUUUCAUAGAAGAGGCCACAGCCAAAGCUGCUCUGGUUACGAAAUCCCAUCUUUAACUAACCCACUGCAAAUCCACAAGAGAGUGGCCAAGUGACUUCCUCAGCGUCAGACAGCAAGGCAGUGGCAGGGCCAGGAGGAGGACCCAAGAGUCCCGGCAUCCUCAGCUGCACUUUGAUCACACA